GGCUCGUCUGAAGGGAGUUAUUUCAGUUAAUUGUUCGCAGUCAGUUACAGAUAGAAUUUCUGUUCUACUUCCCACCCCACCUUACUACUGCAGUUGACUAGUCUUUU
Callithrix jacchus (white-tufted-ear marmoset) is the source of this 107-nucleotide Y RNA. It matches the Rfam family "Y RNA". Rfam says of the family: Y RNAs are components of the Ro ribonucleoprotein particle (Ro RNP), in association with Ro60 and La proteins. The Y RNAs and Ro60 and La proteins are well conserved, but the function of the Ro RNP is not known. The record is from Ensembl. Lineage: Eukaryota; Metazoa; Chordata; Mammalia; Primates; Cebidae.